This 2806-nucleotide long non-coding RNA is filed under the name Sus scrofa (pig). RNAcentral describes it as "lncRNA (ENSSSCG00060026455.1)". Lineage: Eukaryota; Metazoa; Chordata; Mammalia; Artiodactyla; Suidae. The record is from RNAcentral.
CCAUGGCAGUGUCUAUAUAUCCUCUUGCUAUAUUUUCUCCAACCGUGUGCAAUUUCAGAUUGCUAAUGAGACAUUUGGGCUGUGGCAAACCAGAUGAUUGCUAGGGAUGGGAUUGAAAUCUUUUUGUAAAAUGUUUUUCAGGAUUCAUUUUCUCCAUAACAAGAGAGGUGUUUAAACGACAUUUGAAUCUGUAGCAAAUGCAAUCCUUUUUUCAUCUUCCUUUAGAGUACUCUAUCUUUUAACAUCUUUCUCCUGGUCAAUGUGCAUCCUGUUUGUAUGCACACACUUUAGUAUGAAAUCACUGCUGUCAGUCGGUUAUAAUUAAGUACAAAAAAAUGAAAAAGUAGAAUUACUGUGGGAAACUGUGUGAAGUCACAGUUUACAUUUAGAAGAACCACAGAUUCAACCUUAGGAAAGUCACUGAUGUGGAAUGCACUCCCAACUCUUUAAAUGUUCUGUUGUUGGCAUACUGCAAAGGGAGACAUUUUUUACUCUCCUUAGGGAAGGGAAAUUUUUUCAGUAGUGCGUAAAUGCCUAUCAGACUUAAUAUGAUUUUCUUGGCUUGACAUUUACACUGGUAAUCAAGUACCACAAGGCAUUUUAUGAGGACCAACUGGUUCACAACCUAAAGCACCUUCAACCCAUACCCACUGGGUUGAUAACAGGAACCAUGGAUCAUAUAGGGCUUGGUAUGUUCUGGAAAACCAAGUGAAAGAUGAAGUCCUCCAUUUAAUGAUGAGGAAAUUCAAGUCUUAGAGAGCUCAAGAUUCAUAAUCCUCAAACAAAUUCUAAUUUUCAAAAGAGGAAAGCCUUUGGGGCCUCCUCCCUGGGGACUGUUUGAUGUUGGAAUGAAGAGGACAUUGUGUCCUCAGACAUAGGGACUAAGGUCUUCUCUACUUGGCUGUUAAAAGGUGACAGCUGGAGUUGGGACUCCCUGAGAUACAGCCAGAUACCUCAAAGUCAAAAGAGCAGCAGACAAAGAAAAUCCAGUGAUGAAUUAAUAUCAACACGUGGUAGGAAAAAAAAAAAUGCAGUAACGAGGAGGCCAAUGAUCUUCAGAACAAGUUUUUCCCCAACUUGAAAUGUUGAAAUAAGACUGGAUGUCACUCUCCUAUAGACUUUGGUGCAUGGCAGACAUUGGAUAUGUCUAAAUUCAUUUAUCUCAUUGGUGAAAGACAGAAUGUGAAGUUAGGAAAAUGAAUGGUUCUAUUUCUAUUUAAGGAAGAUUCCUUGAUAUGUUUCAGCCUGACCCCAUUAAGCAGUCUCAAAUUGACAAAAUAUCUCUAGACCAAAAAUGGAAGGUUAAUUUAAUUAAAGUGUCACAACUGGACUCUUCCUGACUAAAUUCAGGGCUAGUGUUAAUUUUCUUGAAAUUACCUUGUCUUGAAUUCUUCAUAUUAUCUUUGGGUGCCUAUAAUACUCUGCCCAAAAUAAAUGCUUAAAGUUUAUGGGAUUGUAUGAUUUAAAAAAUGUGAUAGACUGACAUUCGAUUUAAACAUGACUCCAUUGCCUUGGUUAUAUAUAUAUGUUUUUUAAAAAGUUUUAACUGAACAUAAAAUAAGUCAAUGAUCUUGGAGGACAGAUUUGUUAAACUGUGGCCCUUUUGGGUUUAACUUCUUUCUGAUUCUUUUUCCUCAGGUAAUUUGCCAGUUGAUAUUUAUUUAGCUCCAGUACCCAGAUCUGAAUUCUAAUUCAUGAGUACUGUCCAAACACUUUCUGCAUUGCUCAAUCCCUAUUGAUUUGCGAGGACUAAGCAGGAAGAUGAAGCAACUUUAAGAUCCUGUCAUCAAAGUAAUUUCUGACUUUUGAUUAAGGGUUAGAAAUAGCUCCUCAAAUCUUUUUCCUAGGUGGGUUGCAGUCACUUUAAAAAAGCCAUUUAGUAAUAGUAAUAUGGAGACAAUUAGAAUAGUAAUAUGGAGACAAUUAGUAAUAUGGAACAAAAUUUCUGGAUCAACCAAUGAGGCUCCUGUUAUUUUUUCCCCCCGUUUUUCUUUUAUAUUACAACCUCUGGAAUGGCUGUUUCUCCUGGGAGAAUUAGAAAAUGAAAGGCAGAUUCUGGAGCCAUGUCAGUCUCCUACUGAAGGAGUGUGGGGAAAUAUUCCACUGGGAACCAUGACAGAUAAAAUCUUCCAUGGAGGAGCAAAACUUUUAGAGCCUGUCAGAAGACUUGCCCACCUCUAUAACCUAGCAGCCUGUGCUGAACCUUCCUCAUUAUUUUCAAAUGUUGUUAAAUAUCUCGUGUAUUGCUCUAAAGAGACCCAAACCAGUUCUGGUUUCUUCACAAAACAAACCCCAUCAGUGCAUUGGCUGGAAAGAAAAAAAAAAAAUACAAGUUUAGACUAGUUAUCACUGGAUCCUCCUCAUCACUUAGCUAUGUUGCUUUCUCAGUGUUUUUAAAAACUGGUUCCAUGGCAACCAGUUUGCAAAGAGGAUUAAUUCUCCAAGCAGGCAACAAGUAUGUGAUGGAGUUGCAUGACUCUGUUUGGAAAUGUUUGAGUCAAACGCAAUAUGCAGCUCAGAGCAGAAAAGAAUCUCUGGAGGUAAUAUUCACAUCAAGUGAAAAAAAUGUAUUUCUGGCAUUGUUCUCAUGCUCAUAGACCAUAGCCAUCAUGCAGGUGAGCAAGGUGAUGAGGAUUAGAAUUGAUCCCAUCUAUUUUGCCUACUUCCUGACCCCAUCUAGCAUUUGAUGGUGACGUGAUUAUGAAACUAAUAGUGAUCUGUCUCUCCUGACUGACUUCUUGUUCACUUGUUGAUACUCUAUGAUGGCAUGGGGGAGAGCAGUGAUUCGGCACUGAUGUUGGUAAAU